ACAGAGGGUGCAAGCGUUGUCCGGAUUUAUUGGGCGUAAAGCGUCUGUAGGCGGUUUAGUAAGUCUGAAGUGAAAGAAUGGAGCUCAACUCCAUCCCCGCUUCGGAAACUAUUAAACUAGAGAAUGUUAGAAGUAAGUGGAAUUUCCAGUGUAGCGGUGAAAUGCGUAGAUAUUGGAAGGAACACCAGCGGCGAAGGCGGCUUACUGGGACAUUUCUGACGCUGAGAGACGAAAGCGUGGGUAGCGAAAGGG
RNAcentral lists this ribosomal RNA (252 nucleotides) under uncultured bacterium. RNAcentral's name for it is "partial 16S ribosomal RNA". It matches the Rfam family "Bacterial small subunit ribosomal RNA", at positions 525 to 776 of the family's 1533-position model. The record is from RNAcentral.